ACGCUGGCGGCAGGCCUAACACAUGCAAGUCGAGCGGAAACGACACUAUCGAUCCUUCGGAUGCGUUAAUGGGCGUCGAGCGGCGGACGGGUGAGUAAUGCCUAGGAAAUUGCCUUGAUGUGGGGGAUAACCAUUGGAAACGAUGGCUAAUACCGCAUAAUGCCUACGGGCCAAAGAGGGGGAUCUUCGGACCUCUCGCGUCAAGAUAUGCCUAGGUGGGAUUAGCUAGUUGGUGAGGUAAUGGCUCACCAAGGCGACGAUCCCUAGCUGGUCUGAGAGGAUGAUCAGCCACACUGGAACUGAGACACGGUCCAGACUCCUACGGGAGGCAGCAGUGGGGAAUAUUGCACAAUGGGCGAAAGCCUGAUGCAGCCAUGCCGCGUGUAUGAAGAAGGCCUUCGGGUUGUAAAGUACUUUCAGUUGUGAGGAAGGGKGURWMGUUAAUAGCKKYRYMUCUUGACGUUAGCAACAGAAGAAGCACCGGCUAACUCCGUGCCAGCAGCCGCGGUAAUACGGAGGGUGCGAGCGUUAAUCGGAAUUACUGGGCGUAAAGCGCAUGCAGGUGGUUCAUUAAGUCAGAUGUGAAAGCCCGGGGCUCAACCUCGGAACUGCAUUUGAAACUGGUGAACUAGAGUGCUGUAGAGGGGGGUAGAAUUUCAGGUGUAGCGGUGAAAUGCGUAGAGAUCUGAAGGAAUACCAGUGGCGAAGGCGGCCCCCUGGACA
RNAcentral lists this ribosomal RNA (723 nucleotides) under Vibrio sp. 14F10. RNAcentral describes it as "bacterial SSU rRNA". It matches the Rfam family "Bacterial small subunit ribosomal RNA", at positions 33 to 735 of the family's 1533-position model. Lineage: Bacteria; Pseudomonadati; Pseudomonadota; Gammaproteobacteria; Vibrionales; Vibrionaceae. The record is from RNAcentral.